This 101-nucleotide small RNA is filed under the name Sphingopyxis granuli. RNAcentral's name for it is "Manganese sequence". It matches the Rfam family "Manganese Mn2+ riboswitch aptamer (yybP-ykoY)". From Rfam's summary of the family: This RNA was originally discovered in E. coli during a large scale screen and was named SraF. The family was later found to exist upstream of related families of protein genes in many bacteria, including the the yybP and ykoK genes in B. subtilis. Lineage: Bacteria; Pseudomonadati; Pseudomonadota; Alphaproteobacteria; Sphingomonadales; Sphingopyxidaceae. The record is from RNAcentral.
GCCGCCGUCAUCUGGGGAGUAGCCAGCCGUCGAUCCGACGGGCCACCGCGUCAACAUACUCGGCCGAGAGGUCGUGGCGCGAUGGAAGCGGGACACCGCUU